Dermochelys coriacea (leatherback sea turtle) is the source of this 1460-nucleotide long non-coding RNA. RefSeq lists it as uncharacterized. The record is from RefSeq and is a predicted model, not a curated record. Lineage: Eukaryota; Metazoa; Chordata; Testudines; Dermochelyidae. The transcript is spliced from 4 exons.
GGAACGGCCGGGCCCCUCACCUUCCUCUCGCGGCUCUUGCGCUCCUCUCGGCGCCUCUCGAACUCCUCGAAGGAGAUUUUCCCCUCCAGAUAAUUAUAUCUGGCACAAGGAUCUCCAAGGUAAGCUAGAUAUGGUGCAAUUUCCUGGUGUUGGAAGAUAGCAAGAUUGCAUCUGGGGAUACUAGAGUGGAUGAUUCCAAGGUAUUCUAGACAAAGAUGCUAACAAGGACUACGCUCUUUAACUUGUUCUUAUUCAAUAAUAUCAGUUCAAAACUGCUAUGACAUUUGAUUGUAGUUCUCAUAUAUUUUGCUCCUUACAGUUUAAAGAACAUUUUAGUUACAGCAGUUGCACUAAACUAUCAUUUUUCAAGUUGGGAAUCUUGGUCAUUCUUUAGCACCAGUCCAUUAUUAUUAAUAAUAAAUAUUUGUAUAAAAUGCCAUACCAGUAGGUGUGUAUCUUUAUUUAUUGAGAUUUAAACUUUUUAAAGACACUGAUCUAUGGCUCUAGGAACUCUGACAUCGCUAACACAAAUAAAAUUCCAGCUGCAUUAUUUUGCUAUCUAUAGUAAUCUGUGUGCUAGGUACACACAUUAUCUUAUAAGGUUACACUAGGAGUUAUUAUAAUAUUUAGACUAGAUUGUUUUUGUUAUUUGUGGGCAGCUUGGAGACAUUGAGCUCUUAAGUACAUGCAUUCUUGCUUUCAGAUCAGCACCACGGACAGCAACAACAUGAGAAAUAGAAUGAAGGAGAAAAGGCUGAGUAAACUGCAUGGGGUUUCAGUUAUUUUAAAUUAACCAGUCUGACUGAAUAAGCUAAUCACAGCACACACAAACACACCCCACACUCUUUAAUGUCUGUCAAGCAGAUGCUUCUCAUAUAAGGCAGAUAAAAGCUGAGAAGGACCUCAGUGUCCCCUCGUGAGGAGAACUUCUGGUUUCAUGCCAGUUCCAGGGCAUUCACUAGAAUUCACUCAGCAAUUCUGUUUGUAGAGUUUCUCUCUUUUUAGACACAGAAGAGGCUACGUUUGUCCUGGAGGUUUCUACAGAUUUCAAUGAGACCAGAAAGAGAACAUAAACAGACCCAAUAAUUAACUCAUCUUUGUCUUUGCUAUUUACUUUCCCCCCCUAGAAACAGUUAUUAAAAAAAGUUAACUGGCCACCCUGCAUGAAAAAACAAACUUUUGCUCCUUGAUUAAGAGAUCUCAGUACUGGAACUCUGGUGAUCUGGAUUGAAUGUCUGGCUCUGCUACUGGCUUCCUGCAUGAUCGUGGGCAAGUCACAUAACCUUUGUGCCUCACUUCCCUGUCUGUAACAUGGGGAUUGUUUUUUCUAUUUAGAUUGUAGGGGCUUCAGGCAGGGAUUGGCUUUUGCUAAGCAUCUGUACCACACCAAGCACCAGGCCCUCCCCUCUGUUGAGGCCUCUAAGCACUACUGUAAUACAAAUAAUAAUAUUUUAAAAAUA